RNAcentral lists this ribosomal RNA (191 nucleotides) under uncultured bacterium. RNAcentral describes it as "partial 16S ribosomal RNA". It matches the Rfam family "Bacterial small subunit ribosomal RNA", at positions 1311 to 1500 of the family's 1533-position model. The record is from RNAcentral.
CUCGCCUACAUGAAGCUGGAGUUACUAGUAAUCGCAGAUCAGAAUGCUGCGGUGAAUGCGUUCCCGGGUCUUGUACACACCGCCCGUCACACCACGGAAGUUGGGGCGCCCGAAGCCACUUAGCUAACCCUUUUGGGAAGCGAGUGUCGAAGGUGAAAUCAAUAACUGGGGUGAAGUCGUAACAAGGUACC